This is a long non-coding RNA of Pygocentrus nattereri (red-bellied piranha), 1357 nucleotides long. RefSeq lists it as uncharacterized. Lineage: Eukaryota; Metazoa; Chordata; Actinopteri; Characiformes; Serrasalmidae. The transcript is spliced from 4 exons. The record is from RefSeq and is a predicted model, not a curated record.
UUAAGAGACUAACACAGAUGUUAUUGAUCUUUUUCCUCUGGUUUGUCAGAACUUCACUUUUCUCUCAACAGCACAUCUUCUGACAACUUUCAGUUCAACCCAUCAUCUUGUUUAGUGCAUAAAUGCUGAACAGUGCCGUCCGCAUGGUUUGCUUUAGGUUCUGAGAAGAAAUGUAAGUAGAAAAUGAUCAUGUGGUUGCAGUUCUGGAUUCCUGCCUGUAGGGGGAUCUCAUGUUAAUCAUUUCUCUCCUGUUUGUGGAGAGUCAAGAUUAAACAGUGAAGGCCUGUUGGACACUUUGUGAAGCUCUGCUCAGACUGAUCAUCAUCUCCUGGAGCUGAUACUGCAGCCAUGAUCGUCCGUCCUCGUUCUCUCCUCCUGGGUCUGCUGGUCAUCCUCUACCUUCAGUCCGGUGCAGUGGGAAACAAUGGAAAUGCACCAAACAAAUGUUGUUUCAGUUUCUAUACCUCUAUACCUCUAUUUGUCAUUAGUGAGUAUGAAGAAACAAGCCAAGACUGUGAAAGAGCUGGAGUGAUUUUUACCACCAAGAGGGGUGUUCGUGUGUGUGUGGACCCCGGCUUUAAGUGGGUGAAGCGAGCCAUGGACAAAAUCGAUCGCCAAUUUGUGGAAUAUUCAUCCUGAACUCAGCCGAGUGAUUAAAUCUUCACUCUAUUAAUGGGAAACUAACUCCUUUUAAUAUUCCAGCUCUUUAUUACUACAGCAGUGCCCUCGUCUCUGAUUGGGUGAAGGAAUAAAGCUUUUCUGUUUUUUAUUAAGUUAUCUUUGAACAUUAAGUACAGACUGGAGGAAUGUGGUGUAGAUCAGAAUAUAAUACAUGAACCAAAUGUAUUCAGUGUUUUACAUCAGCACGAUUUCCUUUCACACUUUAAAUGUACAGAAAACAUUUACAGAUAUUUGUAUUGGAGUCUGUAAUCUGUGGCUGAACAAAUGUAAUAAUGUUUAUAUAAUGAUUCAAAUAUUAUAAACUCUACACCAACUUUUAUCUUUAGAUAUUUUGGGAUUGAGGGUUUAUUAAUGAAGUCCUAUACUGUAAUUCUCUAUUUAGACUAAUAUAAUCAAGUUAUUUACCUUCAGAUCUGAAUAUCAUUUUUAAAGAUGCAGCAUUUCUGAUGUUCAUUUUAUCAGAAUUUUAUUCUUGAUGUUCUACAGACUUUUAGUUACUUUAGGAUCUGCAUUCAUCACGUUCAUCAAUGUUCAUCAUUCUGGACACGUCUAACUUUUCUACAUUUUUAUUUGCAGCUUCUGUUUGAUGAUUCAGAGUCUAAAAUUGUGAAAUAUAUUUUUUUCUUAACUCUUAUGUACUUUUUUCUGUAAUAAAGUAAUAAAAAUAUUAAAUAUU